CCUCCCCAAAGUUAGUACCAAUAUCCUCGCCGUAGCACUUUCCUUACACUUCUGGUGAAUAACACACUCGUUUGCCAUUGUAGGAUGAUUAACACCUCGCAAAGGUUCAUUGCUUGCCAUAAGGGUUGCUCCCCUAUACGGACUUCAAUGCUGUCCAGAGAGCAUAUAGUAGGCACUUCCCUGAACAGUCAUUUGUCCCACACACUCGGGUGAGUCUAGUGUGGGCUACCAGCAAAAGCAUGAG
Molecule: non-coding RNA, 244 nt
Organism: Pelobates cultripes (western spadefoot toad)
Lineage: Eukaryota; Metazoa; Chordata; Amphibia; Anura; Pelobatidae
Source: the annotation of a GenBank genome assembly